GGGAAUUGUUCGCAAUGGGCGCAAGCCUGACGACGCAACGCCGCGUGGAGGAUGAAGGUCUUCGGAUUGUAAACUCCUGUUGACCGGGAAGAAUGGACUCCGCUCUAACAAGGCGGAGUAAUGACGGUACCGGUUGAGGAAGCCACGGCUCACUCUGUGCCAGCAGCCGCGGUAAUACAGAGGUGGCAAGCGUUGUUCGGAAUUACUGGGCGUAAAGGGCGCGUAGGCGGCCUUCUAAGUCAGACGUGAAAUCCCCAGGCUUAACUUGGGAACUGCGUCUGAUACUGGAGGGCUUGAGUGCGGGAGAGGGAUGUGGAAUUCCAGGUGUAGCGGUGAAAUGCGUAGAUAUCUGGAGGAACACCGGUGGCGAAGGCGGCAUCCUGGACCGACACUGACGCUGAGGCGCGAAAGCUAGGGGAGCAAAC
Molecule: ribosomal RNA, 425 nt
Filed under: uncultured bacterium
Lineage: Bacteria
Description: bacterial SSU rRNA
Rfam family: Bacterial small subunit ribosomal RNA
Source: RNAcentral